UUUUCACUUGCAUGCAUCUUGCAAGCUCCUUUCUGAGGUGAGCAACCCACAAAUAUUCAGUAUUUGGAGCUAGAGGAAAUG
RNAcentral lists this long non-coding RNA (81 nucleotides) under Canis lupus familiaris (dog). RNAcentral's name for it is "lncRNA (ENSCAFG00040015561.1)". The record is from RNAcentral. Lineage: Eukaryota; Metazoa; Chordata; Mammalia; Carnivora; Canidae.